UGUUAUUAUAUUUAUAUAAUUGUAAUUUUACUGGUCUAAUAAAUUCAAAUAAGGUCAAAUUCAAACUAAUAUAUUCAAGUCGACAAGGUCAAGUUCGGAGUAAUACAUUCUAAUCCAAUGAUAUAAUACUAACAUAAGCAACAUUAGGUGAAGAGAACACCCCGUGACAAAUAAAAAUCCCCGCUUUAUCAGCUGAUCAAUCCCAUACUCAAAUUAACUGUGACAGGUAUAGAAGCAAAAUGAAAAUUAGAAUUUGUAAAUUCACUCUUUUCAAUCUCUUUUUCGAUCAAAAAUUGGUACUUUGGUUGAUUGGAGCUGCUGUUAUGAGUUCAGGUUUGAAAGGUUGAUUCUAUGGUGAUUGAUGAAAUUUAUCUCUCUGGACUCUAGGUAUGUAAUAAUUAGACUCAAAAUUUUGUCGUCGAUAGGAGUGGCUUUUACCAAGACUCGAUGUUUUAGUCCUUGUAAAGAAAUUUAUUUGCUGAAUCAUAAAAUCUUGUUUAAUGUUGAAAGGCAUUGUUUGAGAAAUGAUAUGUUCAUUUUAGUCAUGCAAUAUUCAAGCGGUUCAUCGUGCAAAGUUUGAACCUAUGUAACAAGGACUCUACUAGAAGUCAGAGUUGAAACAUCUUUAAAAUGUAAGGUUCUGAACAGUUUUAUUUAUUUAUUUAUUUUUUUUUUUCACUUAAACUCCAAACAAAAUGUACGUAAUGAUGGACUUGAGCUAAUACAAGUUUUUUAUAUGAAAGUAUGAUACCGACCUAGCUGAUACCUACACAACCUAAUUGAUUUGAUCUAGCCUUGUUUCUGUUCAUCACCUGUUUCUCUAUGCUUUUCCUAUUAUGAUCUGUACUCACAAAAGUGAUAGUUGGUUUGCACUUUGCAGCAACCUUUACAACUGAAUUGUAAUUUGUGGCUGAUGUAUGUUAUACAAUGAGACAGAAAUGCCUUAGGCAAUGCAGACCGAGAAAAAAGCUCUUAUACAAGUUCUGCCUGGUAACUCAAAUCCAGAGUCUUGAUAUUUCAAAAGAGGCAUAUUAUAAUGUUCAAAUUGUUGAGAAGAAAGCUGGAGAGUUAUUGCUUCUUCUACUAGAGAAUAAACUUGUGGUUCGCAGCCUCUGAGCUACACCCCGCUUUGUCUCCUUCAUCUUUUCCACUGCCCACAUGAUUAGUGGGAGCCGCAUCACUUUCAUUCUUGUGUUGAUAACAUCCCAAAAGA
Chenopodium quinoa (quinoa) is the source of this 1213-nucleotide long non-coding RNA. RefSeq lists it as uncharacterized. The transcript has 3 exons. The record is from RefSeq and is a predicted model, not a curated record. NCBI's taxonomy places the organism in Eukaryota, Viridiplantae, Streptophyta, Magnoliopsida, Caryophyllales, Amaranthaceae.